GAUGAACGCCGGCGGUGUGCCUAAUACAUGCAAGUCGUACGCACUGGCCCAACUGAUUGAUGGUGCUUGCACCUGAUUGAUGAUGGAUCACCAGUGAGUGGCGGACGGGUGAGUAACACGUAGGUAACCUGCCCCGGAGCGGGGGAUAACAUUUGGAAACAGAUGCUAAUACCGCAUAACGUAUUUUUACCGCAUGAUAGAAAUACCAAAACUGAGGUGCCGAAGGAUGGGCUCGCGUUGGAUUAGAUAGUUGGUGGGGUAACGGCCUACCAAGUCGACGAUCCAUAGCCGGACUGAGAGGUUGAACGGCCACAUUGGGACUGAGACACGGCCCAG
This 336-nucleotide ribosomal RNA is filed under the name uncultured bacterium. RNAcentral describes it as "bacterial SSU rRNA". It matches the Rfam family "Bacterial small subunit ribosomal RNA", at positions 28 to 334 of the family's 1533-position model. The record is from RNAcentral.